This 301-nucleotide ribosomal RNA is filed under the name uncultured bacterium. Its description in RNAcentral is "partial 16S ribosomal RNA". It matches the Rfam family "Bacterial small subunit ribosomal RNA", at positions 509 to 808 of the family's 1533-position model. The record is from RNAcentral.
CAGCCGCCGCGGAAUACGUAGGUGGCAAGCGUUGUCCGGAAUUAUUGGGCGUAAAGCGCGCGCAGGUGGUUUAAUAAGUCUGAUGUGAAAGCCCACGGCUCAACCGUGGAGGGUCAUUGGAAACUGUUAAACUUGAGUGCAGGAGAGAAAAGUGGAAUUCCUAGUGUAGCGGUGAAAUGCGUAGAGAUUAGGAGGAACACCAGUGGCGAAGGCGGCUUUUUGGCCUGUAGCUGACACUGAGGCGCGAAAGCGUGGGGAGCAAACAGGAUUAGAUACCCCCGUAGUCCCUGUCUCUUAUACC